CAGCAGCCGCGGUAAUACAGAGGGUGCAAGCGUUAAUCGGAAUUACUGGGCGUAAAGCGCGCGUAGGCGGUUACGUAAGUUGGAUGUGAAAUCCCCGGGCUCAACCUGGGAAUUGCAUUCAAAACUGCGUGGCUAGAGUGUGGGAGAGGAAGGUAGAAUUCCAGGUGUAGCGGUGAAAUGCGUAGAUAUCUGGAGGAAUACCGAUGGCGAAGGCAGCCUUCUGGCCUAACACUGACGCUGAGGUGCGAAAGCAUGGGGAGCAAACAGGAUUAGAUACCCUGGUAGUCCAUGCCGUAAACGAUGUCUACUAGCCGUUGGGGGACUUGAUCCUUUAGUGGCGCAGCUAACGCAUUAAGUAGACCGCCUGGGGAGUACGGUCGCAAGACUAAAACUCAAAUGAAUUGACGG
This 408-nucleotide ribosomal RNA is filed under the name uncultured bacterium. RNAcentral describes it as "bacterial SSU rRNA". It matches the Rfam family "Bacterial small subunit ribosomal RNA", at positions 509 to 916 of the family's 1533-position model. The record is from RNAcentral.